RNAcentral lists this ribosomal RNA (393 nucleotides) under uncultured bacterium. Its description in RNAcentral is "bacterial SSU rRNA". It matches the Rfam family "Bacterial small subunit ribosomal RNA", at positions 28 to 422 of the family's 1533-position model. The record is from RNAcentral.
GACGAACGCUGGCGGCGUGCUUAACACAUGCAAGUCGAGCGGUAAGGCCCUUUCGGGGGUACACGAGCGGCGAACGGGUGAGUAACACGUGGGUGACCUGCCCUCAGCUCUGGGAUAAGCCUGGGAAACCGGGUCUAAUACUGGAUAUGACUCCAUGACGCAUGUUGUGGGGUGGAAAGCCUUGUGCGGCUGAGGAUGGGCCCGCGGCCUAUCAGCUUGUUGGUGGGGUGAUGGCCUACCAAGGCGACGACGGGUAGCCGGCCUGAGAGGGCGACCGGCCACACUGGGACUGAGACACGGCCCAGACUCCUACGGGAGGCAGCAGUGGGGAAUCUUGCGCAAUGGGCGAAAGCCUGACGCAGCGACGCCGCGUGAGGGAUGACGGCCUCGGUG